RNAcentral lists this ribosomal RNA (1277 nucleotides) under Streptomyces sp. NRRL F-4707. RNAcentral describes it as "bacterial LSU rRNA". It matches the Rfam family "Bacterial large subunit ribosomal RNA", at positions 1 to 1209 of the family's 2925-position model. Lineage: Bacteria; Bacillati; Actinomycetota; Actinomycetes; Kitasatosporales; Streptomycetaceae. The record is from RNAcentral.
ACAGUGGACGCGAGCAUCUGUGGCCAAGUUUUUAAGGGCGCACGGUGGAUGCCUUGGCACCAGGAACCGAUGAAGGACGUGGGAGGCCACGAUAGGCCCCGGGGAGUCGUCAACCAGGCUUUGAUCCGGGGGUGUCCGAAUGGGGAAACCCGGCAGUCGUCAUGGGCUGUCACCCGCUGCUGAACACAUAGGCAGUGUGGAGGGAACGCGGGGAAGUGAAACAUCUCAGUACCCGCAGGAAGAGAAAACAACCGUGAUUCCGGGAGUAGUGGCGAGCGAAACCGGAUGAGGCUAAACCGUUCACGUGUGAGACCCGGCAGGGGUUGCGUGUGCGGGGUUGUGGGAUCUCACUUCUGUUGUCUGCCGGCAACAGGGCGAGUCAGAAACCGUUGAUGUAGGCGAAGGACAUGCGAAAGGUCCGGCGUAGAGGGUAAGACCCCCGUAGUCGAAAUGUCAGCGGCUUGCUUGUGAGACACCCAAGUAGCACGGGGCCCGAGAAAUCCCGUGUGAAUCUGGCGGGACCACCCGCUAAGCCUAAAUAUUCCCUGGUGACCGAUAGCGGAUAGUACCGUGAGGGAAUGGUGAAAAGUACCGCGGGAGCGGAGUGAAAUAGUACCUGAAACCGUGUGCCUACAAGCCGUGGGAGCGUCGGNNNNCUCGUGACUGCGUGCCUUUUGAAGAAUGAGCCUGCGAGUUUGCGGUGUGUUGCGAGGUUAACCCGGGUGGGGAAGCCGUAGCGAAAGCGAGUCCGAACAGGGCGUUUUAGUAGCACGCUCAAGACCCGAAGCGGAGUGAUCUAGCCAUGGGCAGGUUGAAGCGGCUGUAAGAGGUCGUGGAGGACCGAACCCACCAGGGUUGAAAACCUGGGGGAUGACCUGUGGUUAGGGGUGAAAGGCCAAUCAAACUCCGUGAUAGCUGGUUCUCCCCGAAAUGCAUUUAGGUGCAGCGUCGUGUGUUUCUUGCCGGAGGUAGAGCACUGGAUAGGCGAUGGGCCCUACCGGGUUACUGACCUUAGCCAAACUCCGAAUGCCGGUAAGUGAGAGCGCGGCAGUGAGACUGUGGGGGAUAAGCUCCAUGGUCGAGAGGGAAACAGCCCAGAGCAUCGACUAAGGCCCCUAAGCGUACGCUAAGUGGGAAAGGAUGUGGAGUCGCACAGACAACCAGGAGGUUGGCUUAGAAGCAGCCACCCUUGAAAGAGUGCGUAAUAGCUCACUGGUCUAGUGAUUCCGCGCCGACAAUGUAGCGGGGCUCAAGCGUACCGCCGAAGUCGUGUCAUU